Molecule: long non-coding RNA, 800 nt
Filed under: Heterocephalus glaber (naked mole-rat)
Lineage: Eukaryota; Metazoa; Chordata; Mammalia; Rodentia; Bathyergidae
Description: lncRNA (ENSHGLG00000044469.1)
Source: RNAcentral
CCAGGGGAGACGGCGUUUGGGUUUUUGACGCGCCCUGGAUCGAACUCUGCAGUCCAGCCUGCGCUUUUCCAGAUGCUUUUGCAGGCCAGAGGCCUCACCAGUCUCUCAGGAGUGGUUAGCGAGCCCAUCCCCCCCCCCCCCCAGCAGACCCACCCGAGCCCUGCGGACGACGCUCAGCUGUCCAAACACGCAGCGGCGCGUUCAGUCCCAGUGACUCGCGUGAUGAUUAACGAGCGGCUUGAUCAUUUAAUAUCGCGUGUGAUUAAAUUAUGAGGUGUGGGGGAGGGGAGCGCUGCACUCCCGGCCAACCGGGCGGAUGCCGCCAGCCGGCGGGUCUGGGCUGAGCGCACGGAGCCGGCUAGCUCGCUGUGCACUGCGCCUGGCGAGGCUUGAGCCGCGGUCCGCGCCUUCCCGAGGAUUCCAGGCCGAGGGGCUGUCACCGCGCUCUCCUCCGACGGACGCUAAUCAAGCGGAGGUGGAGAAAAAACCCAGCCAGGGGAUGUGCACCCGGGACCCCGCGCUUUUCGAUUUGCAGAAGAGCGCAGCGACAGCGCCCUCGACUCCAGGCGCCAACUCCGAGCUCGCGAGAUCACCAAGGCCCGGAUCCGCCUGCAAGCCAGUUUUAUUUGCCUCCAUCCGUCCCUUCUCCACGUAGUAUUCUUCCCCCGCCUCCCCCAGGUGUGCAGCCAAACCAACAAAUUCCUCCGCCCUCUGUUCCCCUCCCGCCUUCUCUCCUGCGCCAUGGGGUUAUAUCCUCCACGGACAUCCCUGCAAACUUGGAGAUUCAAUUAAAUAAUUCC